UUAAGGUUUUCUUGUAUUCUUCUGAAAAUAGAAAUGAAAACAAAAAAAAAUUGUCUCAUUUGUAGAAUUACUCCUGAAUUUCUUAGGAUUAGCUCUUUUUUUAUAUAUGUUCCGCAAGGUUCUUUCCUGCCACACUUUCUCGCAUCCUAAAUCCCAUCUACUUUAAUUUUCCUUCCUACUCUCUCCUAGGCUGCAUUGGAUCUCAAAGGAUCUAUUGACAUUCUAAAAAAUAGGAAUUAGGAAGCAUCAUAAAAGGGAAAUGCUGCUUCAUUUUCAGUAUGAGCUCUAUGGUGCUCUUUUCUUUGCUUGAUAAAUCACCAAUUAAAUUCUUCUAUUUUUGUUGCUUUGAAUAAUUUCUUCUUCCUCCUUUAAUCUCUCUCUCUAUAAUCUUUUUUCCUCUUGGGGAAUUCCAUGCUUAAGGAGAUACCAUAUACCAAAGUAGCUUUACUUUCUGGAGAAAGAAGCAUUAUGUUCUAUAAGAAAACUUUUAUUAUUGGUGGUUACCAGGGUUAUCAAGUACAUCAGUUGUAAGAAGCGUUAUAGCUGAAGAAAGAAUGAGAACCACGUGAGUCCAUGAUCCAUUAAGGUGCUUUAUGGUAUUUAUCUUCAUGUCUUUAAUUAGUGAGGAUCUUUUCUGCACAUGGAGGAAUUAGUUGGCUAUUUACAUCAUGGGGCCUUUAGACACUGUAGAUGCUCCUAAUUUAUGGAUAAUAAAUUAAUACUAAAGUGAGUGUAAUUUCUAAGCUAGUGAUAGGCCUUGAAAUAUCCCAUGGGGUAACUAGGGACUAGGGAGAUUUGGUUUGGAGGGCUCUGGAUGUGGCCUGUCUGUGAGUCUGUCUCUUAACCUCUUCUAGUGGAGCUGCUGCAGUAUAAGCCAUUAUCAAAUUCCUAAUUAAUUGUCAGUCUACUAAUGAUCAUCAAGUCACUGUACACUAAGUUUUUAGUCAAACCUUCUUCUUUUGGAGGGUGCUACAGUGUUUCAUCAUUUGAACUUUUUCAUAAAUUCUAAAAGAAAUGGAUGUUUCAUAUUUUGUAGAGUUUUUAUGAUAACAAAUCUAUUGUUCUUACUUCUGAACUUCACUCAAAGAUGAAACACCUUGUUUGCAGGACAUGCAUGCAAAAUUAACUGAAAAGUUCUCAUUAAUGUUUCAGGGGAUAAUAUUAUGUUGUUUAGUUGGAUUUAACUUUUGGGGCAAUUGUAUGCUCAGAUACUUGGAGAAAGGAUGUUAGACCUCAUGAAAUUGAAGAUGCCAUCAAUAGUUCAGCACCCGGAAAACUUAGGGUUAUAUCCGUUUCUGAGGUUUCACGCGUAUUCCAUCCUAAUUUUUCUGCCAAAUGGAGGCGCUAUUUGUAUAUUUUUCCACUUAAUGAUGGAGAAGAGAGGGAGGAUCUUGAAAAUUUUACUACUGAUGAAAAAUAUGAUAAACAAAGAUAUGGAUGUGGUGAAUUCACUAGUAGGGAGAAUGGGGAUAAAUCUAUUACUAGCGACAAAUGUGAGCUCGAAGGUGCGAAUAAGCCUACAACAUUCAAUAUAUGCAAAGUUAACAAGCUUUUACAACAGCUAGAAGGAAAAAAGUUGUCCUACAAAAUAUUUGCACGAGACACCAAAGCUUCAAGAAAUGAAGGUCCACCAACGGAAUGCUUCGUUUAUCAUGCUCGAGCCACAGAGGCCAGAUUACCAUGUUCAGAUCAUGCAGAAGGAAGAAAAGUUAUGUGUGUUGAGCUGGUGGCUAAUCGGUUCCUGCGCAAGGUUUUUACUUACAUACACUUGUCAAUGUAUCAGCAUGAAUGUAUUUGUCUAAUGAAAUUUCAAGUGCAGAAUUACCAUAUUUUUGUUUGGUAAUAAAUUUUGAACCUAUACGUGAGAAAAGUUAAUGUUAGAAUUUAGCAUGAACUGAUAAAUUGAUUUUGGAAAUGCUGCUCAAUUAAAUUGUCUAAAUAUCAGCUUUCAUUUUGUAUUAAAAUAGUUAAAAAUUGAUGGCAACUUCGUUGAAGUUUACCUUUAGGUUGGUUAAUUCCAAACAUCGUAGGACUGCAAUUAUCAACUGUUACUGAGAAUUUAUAUCGAUUCUGUUUCUUUUUUGAAUAAUUGUGUGAAAGAUGGUCCGAGUUCUUGUGGCAACAUCGAUAAGGGAAGCGGCUGCAGGUGCAGAAGAAAAUAUAUUGCUAAAGCUGAUGGAUGCUUCAUGCAGACGUGCAAGCGCUCCCCCAGCACCCCCUGAUGGACUUUGUCUUGUUGAUGUAGGAUACACUGAAUUUGAUCCGCAAAACUGCAUUGUCCCUUAAAGUAUGCUUAAUGCUAGAUUAAUCCAAACUAUAUUUUUUCUUCUUUAAGUUCAUUCUGUAGAAUGGAGGAGGUGAGGUUUCUCUUAGGAAUUUAAUAAUUUCCUACUCUAAAAUCUUUACACAGAAAUGAAAAAGUGAAGCUGCUGUAAGCAUCGUUGUGUGUGUGUGUGUGUUUUUUUU
RNAcentral lists this unclassified non-coding RNA (2466 nucleotides) under Hevea brasiliensis (rubber tree). Lineage: Eukaryota; Viridiplantae; Streptophyta; Magnoliopsida; Malpighiales; Euphorbiaceae. The record is from RNAcentral.